AGAGUUUGAUCCUGGCUCAGGAUAAACGCUGGCGGCGUGCCUAACACAUGCAAGUCGAACGCCCUACUUCGGUAGGGAGUGGCGGACGGGUGAGGAACACGUGGGUCAUCUACCUUGAGGUGAGGAAUACCGGCGAGAAAUCGCCGACAAUACCGCAUAGGUUUGGAAACAAACAAAGCCCAGGGCUUACCUGGGUGCCU
RNAcentral lists this ribosomal RNA (200 nucleotides) under uncultured bacterium. Its description in RNAcentral is "partial 16S ribosomal RNA". It matches the Rfam family "Bacterial small subunit ribosomal RNA", at positions 8 to 220 of the family's 1533-position model. The record is from RNAcentral.